UGCAGUCUGAUUCAGGGAUCUGGACCAGGUUUCCGCCUCGAUCCAGCUGAAGUGGCUCUGAAGCUGCCUCGGAGAUCUGGCCAUAGGGUAUAAUGGGGAAUCAAUGAAAUAUCUAUAACUGU
Long non-coding RNA from Gavialis gangeticus (Gharial), 122 nucleotides. RefSeq lists it as uncharacterized. The transcript has 3 exons. The record is from RefSeq and is a predicted model, not a curated record. NCBI's taxonomy places the organism in Eukaryota, Metazoa, Chordata, Crocodylia, Gavialidae.